GGAGCCAUCAUGUGAUUCACCGUCUGUCACAACAACCAUUACUUUUGUGGCUGCUGGACGUCCUCCUGAUUCAGGAUUCUACCUACCACUGGGAACCUACUCAGAGGCCCGGAGCAAAUUGUCUCCUGGUGGGAAUGAAAUCAGGAUGUUCUCCUUGCUGUUUAAGGUCUCACACAGGCAACACUUCAGAUCAGAAGGCUUUGCCAGAAUGAGGACUCAGAAGAACCAUACGCAUGUUUGGAGCCUGGACUGGUGCAAUGCCUCUGAAUACAGAGGAGCAAGACCAUAUUCACAUCAGCAUUGGGUCAUGAUUUGUCAGUCCUUAUGUAUCAAUCACAGGACUUUGCUUUUGGAACAUACAUUUUUUAAGAAAUCAAAAUCAACUGUCCUCAACACAACGUAGUUUGAC
Molecule: long non-coding RNA, 409 nt
Organism: Empidonax traillii (willow flycatcher)
Lineage: Eukaryota; Metazoa; Chordata; Aves; Passeriformes; Tyrannidae
Exons: 3
Source: RefSeq, a predicted model, not a curated record